This 1048-nucleotide long non-coding RNA is filed under the name Anas zonorhyncha (Eastern spot-billed duck). RNAcentral describes it as "lncRNA (ENSAZOG00000002804.1)". Lineage: Eukaryota; Metazoa; Chordata; Aves; Anseriformes; Anatidae. The record is from RNAcentral.
CUUUUGUCACUACUUGGCCAAAUGCCACACCGUAUGUUGGUAAAUGUAAACUGAAAUUCAGAGUUACUCUGAUCUCUGAAGCCUUCUGAAGCUGUGUCUGAAGAAAUAGUGUUUGAGUGAUUCAGAGAUGGGGAUUCUUUGUGUUCAUUUUGUUUUACAGCUAUCUUCAUGUAGAAUGAAGUGGAGUAGCAAGGACAGAUUUUUGGAAGGUAUCUGCAACAGAAAUUUUAUUAGAUUUUUCAGUUAAUUGCAUAUGUCCUCAUCCUUGAAAAAAUGACACCCUGUGUCAUAGAAAACAUGAUUGAAUCCUGAACACCAGUAGCAGACCUUGAAAACCCUGGAAGAGGGCCAUCAAACCUGCUUCAAAGGACAACCUCUGUAACAGCACCCCAGAACUGGGAGAAAGCUUUGUUAACAGCUGAUCUCAACAUUUUUUUACUACUCUGUCAGAGACUGUCUCUAGUCAUACCUGGAAAAUCAUGGCUGAAAACAGAUCUUGCUCUCUGUGAAUGGACAGUUCAGCAUAUCGCCUCUCCUGGGUACGGGGGUGAGAGUCUACCACCUAUGCCUAUGGUCUCUCUGCUUCACAAGCACACCCGGUACCUUAUGGCCCAGGCCAAGAAGGAUUUAAAUAGGACCACAGGAAUUAUGAACAGGAUUCUUAGCUCAAAAUCAGGCAUCCAGCUCUGACAUGUUCAAUGUAGGCUGCCACAAGAUGUUUUACAAAAUGUUUCUGGACCAUCAUUAAGCAAAAAACUUGUUUAAGUGUUACUCCCUUUGAAUGAAAAUGACUUACCACUGGCAGGUUUGAUACAACUGCUUUACAAAUCAACCAAGGGACUGACAGGCACAUUUAUGUGAGAAAUAUAUAUGGAGUUAGAGCACAAUACUCUUAGUGGCAUUUGCUGGGGAAAUUUUUGUCUGCAAAUUGACUUUAAAAAACAAAAACAAAAGCAAAACACCCUUAUUUAAAUUAACUAUCAAAAAUAAUGAAUUCCUGGAGGUGCUAGUUUCCUACCUCCAAGCUGCGUGUCCUGGUGAGCAGGGC